Molecule: unclassified non-coding RNA, 266 nt
Filed under: Rhizophagus sp. (in: glomeromycetes)
Lineage: Eukaryota; Fungi; Glomeromycota; Glomeromycetes; Glomerales; Glomeraceae
Description: partial contains 5.8S ribosomal RNA and internal transcribed spacer 2
Rfam family: 5.8S ribosomal RNA (bases 1-71)
Source: RNAcentral
GUGAAUCAUCAAAUCUUUGAACGCAAAUUGCGCUUCCUAGCAUCCCGGGAAGCAUGCCUGUUUGAGGGUCAGUAUUAACAAAAACACCGGUUUGUUUGCAAAUUUUGACGUUUCCGGAGUUUGUGCUAGCUUAACUUUUUUGGUUAAGGGGCGUAAAAGUGACCUUUUAUGUGCAUUUUUAGACGUACAUAAAUUUUUUUUUAUUCGUCUAUUCUUAAUGCCAAAAUCCUAUUCGAUCCGUUCACAUCUUGUGGUUUUGUGUCCUU